CAGCUGUAAACGAUGCAGACUAGGUGUUUGGACGGCCACGUGCCGUUCUAGUGCCGCAGGGAAGCUGUUAAGUCUGCCGCCUGGGGAGUACGAUCGCAAGAUUGAAACUUAAAGGAAUUGGCGGGGGAGCACCACAAGGGGUGAAGCUUGCGGUUUAAUUGGAGUCAACGCCGGAAAUCUCACCGGGAGCGACAGCAGUAUGAAGGCCAAGCUGAAGACUUUGCCGGAUUAGCUGAGAGGAGGUGCAUGGCGUAGUCGUGU
This 261-nucleotide ribosomal RNA is filed under the name uncultured archaeon. RNAcentral describes it as "partial 16S ribosomal RNA". It matches the Rfam family "Archaeal small subunit ribosomal RNA", at positions 748 to 1009 of the family's 1478-position model. The record is from RNAcentral.